GAUGAACGCUAGCGGCAGGCUUAAUACAUGCAAGUCGAGGGGCAGCGCGGGUAGCAAUACCUGGCGGCGACCGGCAAACGGGUGCGGAACACGUACGCAACCUUCCCAAAACUGGUGAAUAGCCCUCCGAAAGGAGGAUUAAUACACCGUACCAUAACGAAGAGGCAUCUCUUUGUUAUUAUAGUAGCAAUACGGUUUUGGAUGGGCGUGCGCCUGAUUAGGUAGUUGGCGGGGUAACGGCCCACCAAGCCUGCGAUCAGUAACUGGUGUGAGAGCACGACCAGUCACACGGGCACUGAGACACGGGCCCGACUCCUACGGGAGGCAGCAGUAAGGAAUAUUGGUCAAUGGACGCAAGUCUGAACCAGCCAUGCCGCGUGAAGGAUGAAGGCCCUCUGGGUUGUAAACUUCUUUUAUCUGGGACGAAAAAGGCUUCCUAGCUCACUUGACGGUACCAGAGGAAUAAGCACCGGCUAACUCCGUGCCAGCAGCCGCGGUAAGGUAG
Molecule: ribosomal RNA, 505 nt
Filed under: uncultured bacterium
Lineage: Bacteria
Description: bacterial SSU rRNA
Rfam family: Bacterial small subunit ribosomal RNA
Source: RNAcentral